RNAcentral lists this ribosomal RNA (254 nucleotides) under uncultured bacterium. Its description in RNAcentral is "partial 16S ribosomal RNA". It matches the Rfam family "Bacterial small subunit ribosomal RNA", at positions 524 to 776 of the family's 1533-position model. The record is from RNAcentral.
UACGGGGGGAGCAAGCGUUGUUCGGAUUUACUGGGCGUAAAGGGCGCGUAGGCGGUCGUGACAAGUCACUUGUGAAAUCUCCGGGCUUAACUCGGAACGGUCAAGUGAUACUGUCGGACUAGAGUACAGAAGGGGCAACUGGAAUUCUCGGUGUAGCGGUGAAAUGCGUAGAUAUCGAGAGGAACACCUGCGGCGAAGGCGGGUUGCUGGGCCGACACUGACGCUGAGGCGCGAAAGCUAGGGGAGCGAACGGG